RNAcentral lists this ribosomal RNA (948 nucleotides) under uncultured Gammaproteobacteria bacterium. RNAcentral describes it as "bacterial SSU rRNA". It matches the Rfam family "Bacterial small subunit ribosomal RNA", at positions 247 to 1188 of the family's 1533-position model. Lineage: Bacteria; Pseudomonadati; Pseudomonadota; Gammaproteobacteria. The record is from RNAcentral.
AGUAGGUGGGGUAACGGCUCACCUAGGCGACGAUCCCUAGCUGGUCUGAGAGGAUGACCAGCCACACUGGAACUGAGACACGGUCCAGACUCCUACGGGAGGCAGCAGUGGGGAAUAUUGCACAAUGGGCGCAAGCCUGAUGCAGCCAUGCCGCGUGUAUGAAGAAGGCCUUCGGGUUGUAAAGUACUUUCAGCGGGGAGGAAGGGAGUAAAGUUAAUACCUUUGCUCAUUGACGUUACCCGCAGAAGAAGCACCGGCUAACUCCGUGCCAGCAGCCGCGGUAAUACGGAGGGUGCAAGCGUUAAUCGGAAUUACUGGGCGUAAAGCGCACGCAGGCGGUUUGUUAAGUCAGAUGUGAGAUCUCCGGGCUCAACCUGGGAACUGCAUCUGAUACUGGCAAGCUUGAGUCUCGUAGAGGGGGGUAGAAUUCCAGGUGUAGCGGUGAAAUGCGUAGAGAUCUGGAGGAAUACCGGUGGCGAAGGCGGCCCCCUGGACGAAGACUGACGCUCAGGUGCGAAAGCGUGGGGAGCAAACAGGAUUAGAUACCCUGGUAGUCCACGCCGUAAACGAUGUCGACUUGGAGGUUGUGCCCUUGAGGCGUGGCUUCCGGAGCUAACGCGUUAAGCCGACCGCCUGGGGAGUACGGCCGCAAGGUUAAAACUCAAAUGAAUUGACGGGGGCCCGCACAAGCGGUGGAGCAUGUGGUUUAAUUCGAUGCAACGCGAAGAACCUUACCUGGUCUUGACAUCCACGGAAGUUUUCAGAGAUGGAUUGGUGCCUUCGGGAACCGUGAGACAGGUGCUGCAUGGCUGUCGUCAGCUCGUGUUGUGAAAUGUUGGGUUAAGUCCCGCAACGAGCGCAACCCUUAUCCUUUGUUGCCAGCGGUCCGGCCGGGAACUCAAAGGAGACUGCCAGUGAUAAACUGGAGGAAGGUGGGGAUGACGUCAA